UACGUAGGGGGCGAGCGUUGUUCGGAUUUACUGGGCGUAAAGCGCGCGUAGGUGGUUCGAUAAGUCGGAGGUGAAAUCUCUCGGCUCAACCGAGAACCCGCGUCCGAUACUGUCGAACUUGAGUGCAGGAGAGGAGAGCGGAAUUCCCAGUGUAGCGGUGAAAUGCGUAGAUAUUGGGAGGAACACCGGUGGCGAAGGCGGCUCUCUGGACUGUUACUGACACUGAGGCGCGAAAGCUAGGGGAGCAAACGGG
Molecule: ribosomal RNA, 253 nt
Filed under: uncultured bacterium
Lineage: Bacteria
Description: partial 16S ribosomal RNA
Rfam family: Bacterial small subunit ribosomal RNA
Source: RNAcentral